CGGGGGGCAGCAGUGAGGAAUCUUCCACAAUGGGCGAAAGCCUGAUGGAGCAACGCCGCGUGCAGGAUGAAGGCCUUAGGGUUGUAAACUGCUUUUAUAAGUGAAGAAUAUGACGGUAACUUAUGAAUAAGCACCGGCUAACUACGUGCCAGCAGCCGCGGUCAUACGUAGGGUGCAAGCAUUAUCCGGAGUGACUGGGCGUAAAGAGUUGCGUAGGUGGUUUGUUAAGUGAAUAGUGAAAUCUGGCGGCUCAACCGUACAGGCUAUUAUUCAAACUGGCAAACUCGAGAAUGGUAGAGGUAACUGGAAUUUCUUGUGUAGGAGUGAAAUCCGUAGAUAUAAGAAGGAACACCAAUGGCGUAGGCAGGUUACUGGACCAUUUCUGACACUGAGGCACGAAAGCGUGGGGAGCGAACCGGAUUAGAUACCCGAGU
Molecule: ribosomal RNA, 434 nt
Filed under: uncultured bacterium
Lineage: Bacteria
Description: bacterial SSU rRNA
Rfam family: Bacterial small subunit ribosomal RNA
Source: RNAcentral